AGUGAACGCUGGCGGUAGGCCUAACACAUGCAAGUCGAACGGCAGCACAGUAAGCGCUUGCUCUUACGGGUGGCGAGUGGCGGACGGGUGAGGAAUACAUCGGAAUCUACUUUUUCGUGGGGGAUAACGUAGGGAAACUUACGCUAAUACCGCAUACGACCUACGGGUGAAAGCAGGGGUUCUUCGCACCUUGCGCGAUUGAAUGAGCCGAUGUCGGAUUAGCUAGUUGGCGGGGUAAAGGCCCACCAAGGCGACGAUCCGUAGCUGGUCUGAGAGGAUGAUCAGCCACACUGGAACUGAGACACGGUCCAGACUCCUACGGGAGGCAGCAGUGGGGAAUAUUGGACAAUGGGCGCAAGCCUGAUCCAGCCAUACCGCGUGGGUGAAGAAGGCCUUCGGGUUGUAAAGCCCUUUUGUUGGGAAAGAAAAGCAGCAGGUUAAUACCCCGCUGUUCUGACGGUACCCAAAGAAUAAGCACCGGCUAACUUCGUG
Molecule: ribosomal RNA, 492 nt
Filed under: uncultured bacterium
Lineage: Bacteria
Description: partial 16S ribosomal RNA
Rfam family: Bacterial small subunit ribosomal RNA
Source: RNAcentral